UACGUAGGGUGCAAGCGUUAUCCGGAAUUAUUGGGCGUAAAGAGCUCGUAGGCGGUUUGUCGCGUCUGCUGUGAAAACUGGAGGCUCAACCUCCAGCCUGCAGUGGGUACGGGCAGACUAGAGUGCGGUAGGGGAGAUUGGAAUUCCUGGUGUAGCGGUGGAAUGCGCAGAUAUCAGGAGGAACACCGAUAGCGAAGGCAGAUCUCUGGGCCGUAACUGACGCUGAGGAGCGAAAGCAUGGGGAGCGAACAGG
Molecule: ribosomal RNA, 253 nt
Filed under: uncultured bacterium
Lineage: Bacteria
Description: partial 16S ribosomal RNA
Rfam family: Bacterial small subunit ribosomal RNA
Source: RNAcentral